GUGCCUAACACAUGCAAGUCGAACGCGAAAGUCCCGCAAGGGAUAAGUAGAGUGGCAAACGGGUGAGUAACGCGUGGGUGACCUGCCUUCGAGCGGGGGAUAACGUUCCGAAAGGGACGCUAAUACCGCAUAACAUCCUGCCUUUUAAGAGGUGGAGAUCAAAGCCGGGGUCGCAAGACCCGGCACUUGAAGAGGGGCCCGCGUCUGAUUAGCUAGUUGGUGAGGUAACGGCUCACCAAGGCCUCGAUCAGUAUCCGGCCUGAGAGGGCGGACGGACACACUGGGACUGAGACACGGCCCAG
Molecule: ribosomal RNA, 302 nt
Filed under: uncultured bacterium
Lineage: Bacteria
Description: bacterial SSU rRNA
Rfam family: Bacterial small subunit ribosomal RNA
Source: RNAcentral